GGUCAAGUGAAGAAGCGCAUACGGUGGAUGCCUUGGCAGUCAGAGGCGAUGAAAGACGUGGUAGCCUGCGAAAAGCUUCGGGGAGUCGGCAAACAGACUGUGAUCCGGAGAUGUCUGAAUGGGGGAACCCAGCCAUCAUAAGAUGGUUAUCUUGUACUGAAUACAUAGGUGCAAGAGGCGAACCAGGGGAACUGAAACAUCUAAGUACCCUGAGGAAAAGAAAUCAACCGAGAUUCCCUUAGUAGUGGCGAGCGAACGGGGACUAGCCCUUAAGUGGCUUUGAGAUUAGCGGAACGCUCUGGAAAGGGCGGCCAUAGUGGGUGAUAGCCCUGUACGCGAAAAUCUCUUAGUCAUGAAAUCGAGUAGGACGGAGCACGAGAAACUUUGUCUGAAUAUGGGGGGACCAUCCUCCAAGGCUAAAUACUACUGACUGACCGAUAGUGAACUAGUACCGUGAGGGAAAGGCGAAAAGAACCCCGGAGAGGGGAGUGAAAUAGAUCCUGAAACCGUAUGCGUACAAGCAGUGGGAGCCCACUUUGUUGGGUGACUGCGUACCUUUUGUAUAAUGGGUCAGCGACUUAUUUUCAGUGGCGAGCUUAACCGAAUAGGGGAGGCGUAGCGAAAGCGAGUCUUAAUAGGGCGUCUAGUCGCUGGGAAUAGACCCGAAACCGGGCGAUCUAUCCAUGGGCAGGUUGAAGGUUGGGUAACACUAACUGGAGGACCGAACCGACUACCGUUGAAAAGUUAGCGGAUGACCUGUGGAUCGGAGUGAAAGGCUAAUCAAGCUCGGAGAUAGCUGGUUCUCCUCGAAAGCUAUUUAGGUAGCGCCUCAUGUAUCACUGUAGGGGGUAGAGCACUGUUUCGGCUAGGGGGUCAUCCCGACUUACCAAACCGAUGCAAACUCCGAAUACCUACAAGUGCCGAGCAUGGGAGACACACGGCGGGUGCUAACGUCCGUCGUGAAAAGGGAAACAACCCAGACCGUCAGCUAAGGUCCCAAAGUUAUGGUUAAGUGGGAAACGAUGUGGGAAGGCUUAGACAGCUAGGAGGUUGGCUUAGAAGCAGCCACCCUUUAAAGAAAGCGUAAUAGCUCACUAGUCGAGUCGGCCUGCGCGGAAGAUGUAACGGGGCUCAAACCAUACACCGAAGCUACGGGUAUCACUUAGGUGAUGCGGUAGAGGAGCGUUCUGUAAGCCUGUGAAGGUGAGUUGAGAAGCUUGCUGGAGGUAUCAGAAGUGCGAAUGCUGACAUGAGUAACGACAAUGGGUGUGAAAAACACCCACGCCGAAAGACCAAGGUUUCCUGCGCAACGUUAAUCGACGCAGGGUUAGUCGGUCCCUAAGGCGAGGCUGAAAAGCGUAGUCGAUGGAAAACAGGUUAAUAUUCCUGUACUUCUGGUUAUUGCGAUGGAGGGACGGAGAAGGCUAGGCCAGCUUGGCGUUGGUUGUCCAAGUUUAAGGUGGUAGGCUGAGAUCUUAGGUAAAUCCGGGAUCUAAGGCCGAGAGCUGAUGACGAGUACCCUUUGGGUGACGAAGUGGUUGAUGCCAUGCUUCCAAGAAAAGCUUCUAAGCUUCAGGUAACCAGGAACCGUACCCCAAACCGACACAGGUGGUUGGGUAGAGAAUACCAAGGCGCUUGAGAGAACUCGGGUGAAGGAACUAGGCAAAAUGGCACCGUAACUUCGGGAGAAGGUGCGCCGGUGAGGGUGAAGCACUUGCUGCGUAAGCCCACGCCGGUCGAAGAUACCAGGCCGCUGCGACUGUUUAUUAAAAACACAGCACUCUGCAAACACGAAAGUGGACGUAUAGGGUGUGACGCCUGCCCGGUGCCGGAAGGUUAAUUGAUGGGGUUAGCUAACGCGAAGCUCUUGAUCGAAGCCCCGGUAAACGGCGGCCGUAACUAUAACGGUCCUAAGGUAGCGAAAUUCCUUGUCGGGUAAGUUCCGACCUGCACGAAUGGCGUAACGAUGGCGGCGCUGUCUCCACCCGAGACUCAGUGAAAUUGAAAUCGCUGUGAAGAUGCAGUGUAUCCGCGGCUAGACGGAAAGACCCCGUGAACCUUUACUAUAGCUUUGCACUGGACUUUGAAUUUGCUUGUGUAGGAUAGGUGGGAGGCUUUGAAGCGUGGACGCCAGUUCGCGUGGAGCCAACCUUGAAAUACCACCCUGGCAACUUUGAGGUUCUAACUCAGGUCCGUUAUCCGGAUCGAGGACAGUGUAUGGUGGGUAGUUUGACUGGGGCGGUCUCCUCCUAAAGAGUAACGGAGGAGUACGAAGGUGCGCUCAGACCGGUCGGAAAUCGGUCGUAGAGUAUAAAGGCAAAAGCGCGCUUGACUGCGAGACAGACACGUCGAGCAGGUACGAAAGUAGGUCUUAGUGAUCCGGUGGUUCUGUAUGGAAGGGCCAUCGCUCAACGGAUAAAAGGUACUCCGGGGAUAACAGGCUGAUACCGCCCAAGAGUUCAUAUCGACGGCGGUGUUUGGCACCUCGAUGUCGGCUCAUCACAUCCUGGGGCUGAAGCCGGUCCCAAGGGUAUGGCUGUUCGCCAUUUAAAGUGGUACGCGAGCUGGGUUUAGAACGUCGUGAGACAGUUCGGUCCCUAUCUGCCGUGGACGUUUGAGAUUUGAGAGGGGCUGCUCCUAGUACGAGAGGACCGGAGUGGACGAACCUCUGGUGUUCCGGUUGUCACGCCAGUGGCAUUGCCGGGUAGCUAUGUUCGGAAAAGAUAACCGCUGAAAGCAUCUAAGCGGGAAACUUGCCUCAAGAUGAGAUCUCACUGGGACCUUGAGUCCCCUGAAGGGCCGUCGAAGACUACGACGUUGAUAGGUGGGGUGUGUAAGCGCUGUGAGGCGUUGAGCUAACCCAUACUAAUUGCCCGUGAGGCUUGACCAU
RNAcentral lists this ribosomal RNA (2890 nucleotides) under Pseudomonas hefeiensis. RNAcentral describes it as "23S ribosomal RNA". It matches the Rfam family "Bacterial large subunit ribosomal RNA". The record is from RNAcentral. Lineage: Bacteria; Pseudomonadati; Pseudomonadota; Gammaproteobacteria; Pseudomonadales; Pseudomonadaceae.